ACACCUCAACUCUCAUGGCUUGCCAUGAUGAGCUUGGACUCUGGAGGUCUUGCUGGCUCAUGGUCGGCUCCUCUCAAAUGGAUUAGCUUGCCAGUGUUUGGUGGCAUCACAGGUGUGAUAACUAUCUGCGCUUGUGGUUUCCCAUCAGAUAACCUUCAGUGAUGGAGGUUCGCUGGAGCUCAUAAACGUCUCUCCUAAGUGAAGACAACCCUUUGAAU
RNAcentral lists this unclassified non-coding RNA (218 nucleotides) under uncultured Tomentella. RNAcentral's name for it is "sequence contains ITS2". The record is from RNAcentral. Lineage: Eukaryota; Fungi; Basidiomycota; Agaricomycetes; Thelephorales; Thelephoraceae.